UGGAAACGACUGCUAAUACCGCAUAAGCCCACGGUACCGCAUGGUACUGAGGGAAAAGGAUUUAUUCGCUUUAGGAUGGACUCGCGUCCAAUUAGCUAGUUGGUGAGGUAACGGCCCACCAAGGCGACGAUUGGUAGCCGGACUGAGAGGUUGAACAGCCACAUUGGGACUGAGACACGGCCCAGACUCCUACGGGAGGCAGCAGUGGGGGAUAUUGCACAAUGGGGGAAACCCUGAUGCAGCGACGCCGCGUGGAGGAAGAAGGUUUUCGGAUUGUAAACUCCUGUCGUUAGGGACGAUAAUGACGGUACCUAACAAGAAAGCACCGGCUAACUACGUGCCAGCAGCCGCGGUAAAACGUAGGGUGCAAGCGUUGUCCGGAAUUACUGGGUGUAAAGGGAGCGCAGGCGGGAAGACAAGUUGGAAGUGAAAACCAUGGGCUCAACCCAUGAAUUGCUUUCAAAACUGUUUUUCUUGAGUAGUGCAGAGGUAGAUGGAAUUCCCGGUGUAGCGGUGGAAUGCGUAGAUAUCGGGAGGAACACCAGUGGCGAAGGCGGUCUACUGGGCACCAACUGACGCUGAGGCUCGAAAGCAUGGGUAGCAAACAGGAUUAGAUACCCUGGU
This 624-nucleotide ribosomal RNA is filed under the name uncultured bacterium. RNAcentral's name for it is "bacterial SSU rRNA". It matches the Rfam family "Bacterial small subunit ribosomal RNA", at positions 151 to 791 of the family's 1533-position model. The record is from RNAcentral.